This 463-nucleotide ribosomal RNA is filed under the name uncultured Pelotomaculum sp. RNAcentral describes it as "bacterial SSU rRNA". It matches the Rfam family "Bacterial small subunit ribosomal RNA", at positions 923 to 1382 of the family's 1533-position model. Lineage: Bacteria; Bacillati; Bacillota; Clostridia; Eubacteriales; Desulfotomaculaceae. The record is from RNAcentral.
GCACAAGCGGUGGAGCAUGUGGUUUAAUUCGACGCAACGACGAAGAACCUUACCAGGGCUUGACAUCCCCUGACCGCGUAUGAAAGUACGUUUUCACCUUCGGGUGACAGGGAGACAGGUGGUGCAUGGUUGUCGUCAGCUCGUGUCGUGAGAUGUUGGGUUAAGUCCCGCAACGAGCGCAACCCCUACGUUUAGUUGCUAACGCGUGAAGGCGAGCACUCUAGACGAACUGCCGUUGACAAAACGGAGGAAGGUGGGGAUGACGUCAAAUCAUCAUGCCCCUUAUGUUCUGGGCUACACACGUGCUACAAUGGUCGGUACAGAGGGUUGCCAACCCGCGAGGGGGAGCUAAUCCCACAAAGCCGAUCGUAGUCCGGAUCGCAGUCUGCAACUCGACUGCGUAAAGUCGGAAUCGCUAGUAAUCGUGGAUCAGCAUGUCACGGUGAAUACGUUCCCGGGUCUU